This 1573-nucleotide unclassified non-coding RNA is filed under the name Hevea brasiliensis (rubber tree). Lineage: Eukaryota; Viridiplantae; Streptophyta; Magnoliopsida; Malpighiales; Euphorbiaceae. The record is from RNAcentral.
CUCUCCACCUACAUCUCUUGUUAUUGAACCAUCCCCGACCAUGUCUUCCAUUUCACCUCCUGGUCCACUAGUACUUAGAAAAAGUACUAGACAGGUUCAUAAACCUUCUUGGCUUAAUGAUUUCGUUGCUAUGAUUCACUGUGACAAUCCUCUACCAACUUCCACAGCUUCCAUCUCCACUGGUUCAUUGGUUCUGCCUCAUCACCAAGGUAUAGUUUCUAUUCAUAAGCCUAUUUUUAAUCCUACUUAUUUGGCUUUUUUGGCUAACUUCUCUUUGAUCCAUGAGCCCAAAAGUUAUUAUCAGGCUAAGCAUAACCCUUAUUGGGUCGAUGCCAUGGAAAAGGAAUUGCAUGCUUUGGAAAAUAAUGGUACUUGGCGGCUUACCUCCCUUCCUUCUCAUAAAAAAGCCAUACAGUCGAAAUGGGUUUACAAAGUCAAAUAUAAUCCAGAUGGCACCGUUGAUCGCUACAAGGCUAGGCUUGUAGCCAAGGGGUACAACCAACUUCCUGAGCUUGAUUAUACAGCCAGCUUUUCCCCUGUUGCCAAGACAGUCACUGUUCGAUUAUUCUUGGCACUAUCUGCUGCCUGCAAUUGGCCCAUUCAUCAGCUCGAUAUUAAUAAUGUGUACCUUCAUGGGUACAUUGAUGAAGAAUUAUACAUGCAGCCUCCAGAAGGGUAGACCAAGGCAAAACAUGGGCAUGUUUGUUGCUUGAUUAAGUCACUUUACGGUCUGAAACAGGUUGGCCGUCAAUGGAACAAGGAGCUUACUUCGAAGCUUUGUUCCUAUGGUUUUCAACAAUCCACUCAUGAUAAUUGCUUAUUUACAAUGGGUACACAAGAUUCUUUUCUCGCUCUGCUUGAAUACGCUGAUGAUGUCCUUAUAACAGGGGUGGAUUACUCCAAAAUCAUUCACGUGAAGCAAUUCUUGGAUCAGUCCUUUACUAUUAAAGACCUCGGCAAUGCAAAAUAUUUCUUGGGGGUGGAAAUUGCAAGGUCUUCUGAUGGCUUAUUUCUUAGUCAACGAAAGUAUAUAUUGGAUAUUCUUAGUGAUGCUGGGAUGUUAAACGCCAAAUGAAAAGAGUUUCCUAUGUCCAAAGGUUUGAAACUUGAUGACCAUACUGGUGAUCCACUUCCUGAACCAGAGGUAUAUCGUCGUUUGGUGGGUAGGUUACUCUACCUGGGCCUUACACGCCCUGAUACAUCUUAUGUGGUUCAACACUUAAGCCAGUUUUUACAUCUCCCAUGUAAGCCUCACUGGGACGCACUUAUGGCUUUACUUCGGUACCUCAAAGGCUCUCCAGCCAAGGGGCUAUUUUUCCCUGUUAAUGUCCCUCUCAAUAUUUCUGCAUAUUGUGACGCAGAUUGGGCCACUUGCCCUAUGACACGAAAAUCCCUUACGGGAUAUUAUAUUUUCUUAGGGACAUCUCUUAUCUCUUGGAAGUCAAAAAAACAAAUAACAGUUAGUCGAUCCUCUGCUGAAGCUGAGUAUCGUAGUAUGGCGACUACUGUUUGUGAGCUGCAAUGGUUGUCUUAUUUGUUGCAGGAUUUACAAGUUCAAGUUUCACAACCUAUU